AGAAAGUGGCACAUGUACAUAGGAAGUGGUGGAUCACGAUCCUGCCGUGUGUCCCAGACCCUUCUCAGAUGAACAAGAAAGGAGAGAGACAUCACCAAGAAGAACAGGAUACAUGGAAAAGCAUAAUAAAAUUAUGAAUUAUGCUUUUACAUAAUAGCAGGAGACGGGAAGAAAGAUUUGCUAAUCAUUCUGGGGAAAGAGAAUUGGAACUACUUGGUUCAAAGUGAGCUCCCUGCAGGAAAAGUUUACCAACCAAUGGAACAGACACAAGGACUGUGGAAUACAGAUUCUGAACAUCCAAGCUGUACAAGGUGUGCAUGACUGUAAUCCCACCACCCUAGAGGCAGAGGCAGGAGGACUACAAACUGGAAGCCAGCCCAGGUGACAUAGCAAGACCCUGGGUCUAUUGUUCCAAACCAGAAAUAAACGGGAAAGAAGUCAAGGUGCUAACAUUUCCCACAUAUUAAAUACCUAAAGUAUAUCAAUGUAUAUUCUCUCAAAUAGGGAGAUGGUAUUUGACAACCCAAUGAUAUUAAUAUGUGGGGGAAAACUAGAAGACAUCAUAUCAGCUUUACCAUACAUACAUUUUAUUUUAACGAUUAGGUCAUAAACACCCCACUUUGAAGACUGUCUGCAAAAAAAAAAAAAUACUCAUUACUUCUUACCUCAGAACAUCUCACCCAUCCUUAGGUAGGGCAACAGGUGGGAUA
RNAcentral lists this long non-coding RNA (710 nucleotides) under Rattus norvegicus (Norway rat). RNAcentral's name for it is "long non-coding RNA NONRATT000091". Lineage: Eukaryota; Metazoa; Chordata; Mammalia; Rodentia; Muridae. The record is from RNAcentral.